GUAGGGUGCAAGCGUUAAUCGGAAUUACUGGGCGUAAAGCGUGCGCAGGCGGUUGUGUAAGUCAGAUGUGAAAUCCCCGGGCUCAACCUGGGAAUUGCAUUUGAGACUGCACGGCUAGAGUGUGUCAGAGGGGGGUAGAAUUCCACGUGUAGCAGUGAAAUGCGUAGAUAUGUGGAGGAAUACCGAUGGCGAAGGCAGCCCCCUGGGAUAACACUGACGCUCAUGCACGAAAGCGUGGGGAGCAAACAGGAUUAGAUACCCUGUAGUCCACGCCCUAAACGAUGUCUACUAGCUGUCGGGUCUUAAUUGACUUGGUAACGCAGCUAACGCGUGAAGUAGACCGCCUGGGGAGUACGGUCGCAAGAUUA
RNAcentral lists this ribosomal RNA (368 nucleotides) under uncultured bacterium. RNAcentral's name for it is "bacterial SSU rRNA". It matches the Rfam family "Bacterial small subunit ribosomal RNA", at positions 527 to 896 of the family's 1533-position model. The record is from RNAcentral.